RNAcentral lists this transfer RNA (68 nucleotides) under Loxodonta africana (African savanna elephant). It matches the Rfam family "tRNA". Rfam says of the family: Transfer RNA (tRNA) molecules are approximately 80 nucleotides in length. Their secondary structure includes four short double-helical elements and three loops (D, anti-codon, and T loops). The record is from Rfam by way of RNAcentral. Lineage: Eukaryota; Metazoa; Chordata; Mammalia; Proboscidea; Elephantidae.
GUGGUGGUUCAGUGGUAGAAUUCUCGCCUCCCACGUGGGAGACCCGGGUUCAAAUCCCAGCCAACACA